RNAcentral lists this transfer RNA (85 nucleotides) under Felis catus (domestic cat). It matches the Rfam family "tRNA". From Rfam's summary of the family: Transfer RNA (tRNA) molecules are approximately 80 nucleotides in length. Their secondary structure includes four short double-helical elements and three loops (D, anti-codon, and T loops). The record is from Rfam by way of RNAcentral. Lineage: Eukaryota; Metazoa; Chordata; Mammalia; Carnivora; Felidae.
GCCUGAGUGGCUCAAUUGGUUGAGUGUUUGACUUUGGCUCAGGUCAUGAUCUCGGGGUUUGUGAGUUCGAGCCCCACGUCAGGUU